Molecule: long non-coding RNA, 2580 nt
Organism: Alexandromys fortis (reed vole)
Lineage: Eukaryota; Metazoa; Chordata; Mammalia; Rodentia; Cricetidae
Exons: 3
Source: RefSeq, a predicted model, not a curated record
GCUGCCAGUUCCAAAGGCCAGCACUGUGUGUUCCUUCCCUCAAGGAGCUGUGUACUCCCGGAGAGAGCUGCCUGCAGCCUCGGGCCCUCUCUGGCUCUCCCUACCUCUCGUUUUCUCCUUUAUCAACACAAAUGAAAAUAAAAACUGGGAAGGCUCAGUUUCUCUAAGGGACACCGGACAGGAAAAGGAGAACAGGCGGUUCCUGUUUUUCUCACCAAGGGGAUUGCCCGGUCUUCUCAAAAUGGGUAGAUCUCUCUGGAAUCGCUGUACAGGAUUCUUCAGAUAUACAGAGAAGGAACCCAGGCACCUGCUCCUGUGUCACCGCUUUGGAUGGCAACUAAGAAGUCCCUCCACUUCUAGUCCCGCCACCCGGCCUCGGACCCCAUGCCCAAGGGCCUGCCGUGAUCCCGCUCCCUUCCUGUGACCCUCUCAGUGGCACCUCGAGGCUGCCAGCCUCUCCAGGCCUGCUGUGGCUUUCAGAAAACAGAGCGGGCCUAUUUUUAGCCCUUCUCAGCCUAAUAAUACUCCCCGGCACCCAUUCAGUUUAAUCGCUUUAUUGAGGACAAGAAGCGAGCUCUCUAGCCCGGGUGCUUCUGAUGUUCGGAAGUAGUAAAAUGUUCAAACUGGUUAAAAAACGACACUCAUUGGCUUGCCUUUGGUGUUUCUGAAACCCUAAUUGUGGUUCCAGCCACGGAUCUAAGGAACCUUGUAGGUUGCAGAGUCUGGCUCCCUGACCCCCUGCACCAUAAUUGAGGUGUUACAUUACAAUCCCAGCACUGCCGGCUUCAGGCUCAAAAUUCAGAAGGCUCAAGGCACCACACUUCUCAAAACAAAAAUAUGGCCUGUCACAAUUAAUGCCCAUCUCCCCAACUGGGGGAAAAACAUGACUGGCUGUUUCUGGUUCACUCUCUACAGAAGGUCCAGGGGGUGCAGGGGACGAUGUCCAGGAUGAAGCCCAUCGUGUUAUUAAAGUGCCCCUGACAAAUAAAAUGACAUCGAAUUGCUGCCUGAAAACAGAACGGUUUGUUUGGUGUAAUUAGAGGACCUGCGAAUUUGGUGUGCGCAGAAAAUAGACUGUUGGCAGCACUUCCGCACGCACCUCCGAGACUGUGACUUCCAGAGCGUGAGGGUCAUCAUUUGCAAGCAGGCAAGUGGUACCACGUGAACUCCACGCCACAGAAGUGGUAGCCCGCGACGCUCAGACAAGCAGUCAGCGUGGCGUUAUCCAUAAAAUGGACACAGUAAAACCGACUCAAAAGAGGUCUUACGCAAGUCUGAAGAACGCCCUCCCCUCUUUCCUUCUUUAUUUGUUGUUGCUAUUGUUGUUGUUAAGACUACAGUCUCGUUGCUAGGUAGUCCUGGCAAACCUGAUACUCAUUAUGCCAUCUAGGCUGUCCUCAAACUCUUGGUAAUCCUCCUGUCUCAACGCUGAAGUGCUGGGAUUAUAAGCAUAUGCCACCUUGCCUGGACCCAACCCCCGCUUCUUUUCCUUCUUUCGCAAGGCACCUGAAGCACCUUCGUAAGACUCCUGCAUUCUGAAAAGCAGAGGGAGAAAUGCCUCAUUAACUUCCCUAGCUAAUUUUACAAUUUAACCAAACACCAGAUUUCUGCCUCCAUUCAGCGCUGAUGGUGACAAACUUGCAAUUGCGGAGACGGUGGGAACGAUUGCGUCCAGGCUGGAAACUGAAGGCAAGGGCUAGAAAACAACACCAGGAGAUGGUUCACUCAGAAACUAAAAUAAAACCCAGCUCUAAAGGGGGCCCCUGGAGCAGAAUUCAAGGCUGGGCAGGGCUGAGAAGUGAAGGAAGAAAAGCCAGGUCAGCCAUGUGGUGUCAGGAAGAUGGAGCGCCUAAGUGACAAUGACUCUUCCUGUCACCUUGCAGGGCAGGGGCUAUAUUGGGAAAGUCAAGUUACAUGCUGUCCUCCUAGGGGCAUGAUUCAAUGCUGAUGGGUAGCAGGCCAAAGGCCAGCCAGGGCCACAGAGGACACGAUUAACUUGGCCAUGCCCUGGGGCUCCUUCCAAAACACACUCAAGGUCCAGUUGGCUACUGAGCCCAAGCCCUGAGGGAAACACCGCCCCCCAUACGUCCUGAUUAUGAUUUGGGCAGAGGUGGGGUUCAGUGGGGAAAGACACUGCGGUAGAGAAUGUGUCACCAUCAAUAAGCCUACAGCUGAGAGUCCUCCAGGCAUUGUUAAAUGCCUAAUUGGUCCUCGUCUUUUAGACUCACACCUUGCCCAUCCACACUGGACAGAUCUCCAGACAGACAGACAGACAGACAGACAGACAGACAGACAGACCGAGACGCUGAGUCUUCCUUAGCACCUGGGUCAGGCGCUGCUCUCCGUGCCUGUGGAAGACACCGCCCUGGGACUGUCCUUGUUCCUCCUGGGGCAACCCUGAAGCUUCCACCUGCUUCUCUGUAUCCUCAUUUCCACAACGUGUGAUUCCAGACCCCAACGCUCAAUCAAGACCAGACUAGCUCACAGCAGGGCUCUACCAGACACACUGAGCAGUCUCCAUGGGAAAGACUUAGGCUGGGGAGGCAGUAAUAACCCAGGACAACAGCUUGUCCCCCAAAG